This 706-nucleotide ribosomal RNA is filed under the name uncultured bacterium. RNAcentral's name for it is "bacterial SSU rRNA". It matches the Rfam family "Bacterial small subunit ribosomal RNA", at positions 173 to 882 of the family's 1533-position model. The record is from RNAcentral.
AGUAUGGUGAGAUUGCAUGAUAGCACCAUUAAAGAUUUAUUGGUAAACGAUGGGGAUGCGUUCCAUUAGGUAGUAGGCGGGGUAACGGCCCACCUAGCCGACGAUGGAUAGGGGUUCUGAGAGGAAGGUCCCCCACAUUGGAACUGAGACACGGUCCAAACUCCUACGGGAGGCAGCAGUGAGGAAUAUUGGUCAAUGGGCGAGAGCCUGAACCAGCCAAGUAGCGUGAAGGAUGAAGGUCCUACGGAUUGUAAACUUCUUUUAUACGGGAAUAAAGUAUCCUACGUGUAGGAUUUUGUAUGUACCGUAUGAAUAAGCAUCGGCUAACUCCGUGCCAGCAGCCGCGGUAAUACGGAGGAUGCGAGCGUUAUCCGGAUUUAUUGGGUUUAAAGGGAGCGCAGACGGGAGAUUAAGUCAGUUGUGAAAGUUUGCGGCUCAACCGUAAAAUUGCAGUUGAUACUGGUUUCCUUGAGUGCAGUUGAGGCAGGCGGAAUUCGUGGUGUAGCGGUGAAAUGCUUAGAUAUCACGAAGAACCCCGAUUGCGAAGGCAGCUUGCUAAACUGUAACUGACGUUCAUGCUCGAAAGUGUGGGUAUCAAACAGGAUUAGAUACCCUGGUAGUCCACACGGUAAACGAUGGAUACUCGCUGUUGGCGAUAUACUGUCAGCGGCCAAGCGAAAGCAUUAAGUAUCCCACCUGGGGAGUA